GCACUGCUGAGGAGUCCCACAAUAGAACGAAACGAGUGUCCAGUGC
This 46-nucleotide non-coding RNA is filed under the name Schistosoma mansoni. The record is from RNAcentral. Lineage: Eukaryota; Metazoa; Platyhelminthes; Trematoda; Strigeidida; Schistosomatidae.